RNAcentral lists this ribosomal RNA (492 nucleotides) under uncultured bacterium. RNAcentral's name for it is "partial 16S ribosomal RNA". It matches the Rfam family "Bacterial small subunit ribosomal RNA", at positions 29 to 507 of the family's 1533-position model. The record is from RNAcentral.
AGUGAACGCUGGCGGUAGGCCUAACACAUGCAAGUCGAACGGCAGCACAGUAAGAGCUUGCUCUUACGGGUGGCGAGUGGCGGACGGGUGAGGAAUACAUCGGAAUCUACUUUUUCGGGGGGGAUAACGUAGGGAAACUUACGCUAAUACCGCAUACGACCUACGGGUGAAAGCAGGGGAUCUUCGGACCUUUCGCGAUUGAAUGAGCCGAUGUCGGAUUAGCUAGUUGGCGGGGUAAAGGCCCACCAAGGCGACGAUCCGUAGCUGGUCUGAGAGGAUGAUCAGCCACACUGGAACUGAGACACGGUCCAGACUCCUACGGGAGGCAGCAGUGGGGAAUAUUGGACAAAGGGCGCAAGCCUGAUCCAGCCAUACCGCGUGGGUGAAGAAGGCCUUCGGGUUGUAAAGCCCUGUUGUUGGGAAAGAAAAGCAGCAGGUUAAUACCCCGCUGUUCUGACGGUACCCAAAGAAUAAGCACCGGCUAACUUCGUG